This is a long non-coding RNA of Helicoverpa zea (corn earworm), 523 nucleotides long. RefSeq lists it as uncharacterized. The transcript has 2 exons. The record is from RefSeq and is a predicted model, not a curated record. NCBI's taxonomy places the organism in Eukaryota, Metazoa, Arthropoda, Insecta, Lepidoptera, Noctuidae.
UCCGCGGCCGCUUCGUGUGCGGCUGCUCGUAGUCCAGUGGCACCGCACUCGAGUGCCGCAUGUCCUGCCCGGCGGGCGAGCCCAUGUUGCUCGACGAUACUGAACCUGCAACGUGCCGAUACACUGUAAUUGGUAAGAUAGAUGUGCGGGCUGCGGCGCGGGCGCAGGGGGCGGGCCGCGGUGCAUGUGGUCAGGCGCACGCGGUGGCGACACCGGCUCCGCUUUGAUCUUCACGUUGCUAGGCGACGCGGCUGGUGGGGGCGUGCCUCCGCCGCCCAGCACUGGCAAGCUGCUACUGUUGAAUGGACAACCUUAUUAGUGAAGGUGGAAUUGGAAGGAACAUUUUAGGGGUCAAUGUACUUCUGAUUUUGAAGUUAGGGGUAAAAAUUGUAGAGGUUGGGUUUGAUUUCAAAUAAAAUGCCUCAAAAAUGUUUCUUAAUUUGUUCAAUAUGGUUAAGCUGAACUUCUAGAUCCCAUUACACUCUUCAACGGUACAUUGAAUUAAAAACAAAUGCAUAAAUUA